Molecule: ribosomal RNA, 497 nt
Filed under: uncultured bacterium
Lineage: Bacteria
Description: partial 16S ribosomal RNA
Rfam family: Bacterial small subunit ribosomal RNA
Source: RNAcentral
GAUGAACGCUGGCGGCGUGCCUAAUACAUGCAAGUCGAGCGAACAGACGAGGAGCUUGCUCCUCUGACGUUAGCGGCGGACGGGUGAGUAACACGUGGAUAACCUACCUAUAAGACUGGGAUAACUUCGGGAAACCGGAGCUAAUACCGGAUAAUAUAUUGAACCGCAUGGUUCAAUGGUGAAAGACGGUUUUGCUGUCACUUAUAGAUGGAUCCGCGCCGCAUUAGCUAGUUGGUAAGGUAACGGCUUACCAAGGCAACGAUGCGUAGCCGACCUGAGAGGGUGAUCGGCCACACUGGAACUGAGACACGGUCCAGACUCCUACGGGAGGCAGCAGUAGGGAAUCUUCCGCAAUGGGCGAAAGCCUGACGGAGCAACGCCGCGUGAGUGAUGAAGGUCUUCGGAUCGUAAAACCCUGUUAUUAGGGAAGAACAAAUGUGUAAGUAACUAUGCACGUCUUGACGGUACCUAAUCAGAAAGCCACGGCUAACUACGUG